This 1459-nucleotide ribosomal RNA is filed under the name uncultured rumen bacterium 4C28d-23. RNAcentral describes it as "bacterial SSU rRNA". It matches the Rfam family "Bacterial small subunit ribosomal RNA". The record is from RNAcentral.
AGAGUUUGAUCCUGGCUCAGGAUGAACGCUAGCUACAGGCUUAACACAUGCAAGUCGAGGGGUAACGACAGCGAAAGCUUGCUUUUGCUGGGCGACGACCGGCGAAUGGGUGAGUAACGCGUAUCCAACCUGCCGCAAAGUAGGGCACAGCCUUGCGAAAGUAAGAUUAAUGCCCUAUGUGCUGUGAUGAUGACAUCAGAAUUGCAGUAAAGGUUCACCGCUUUGCGAUGGGGAUGCGUCUGAUUAGGUUGUUGGCGGGGUAACGGCCCACCAAGCCCGCGAUCAGUAGGGGUUCUGAGAGGAAGGUCCCCCACAUUGGAACUGAGACACGGUCCAAACUCCUACGGGAGGCAGCAGUGAGGAAUAUUGGUCAAUGGGCGAGAGCCUGAACCAGCCAAGUAGCGUGCGGGACGAAGGCCCUAUGGGUUGUAAACCGCUUUUACGGGGGGAUAAAGUGAGUGACGUGUCAUUCAUUGCAGGUACCCCGCGAAUAAGGACCGGCUAAUUCCGUGCCAGCAGCCGCGGUAAUACGGAAGGUCCGGGCGUUAUCCGGAUUUAUUGGGUUUAAAGGGAGCACAGGCCGGCUGUCAAGCGUGUUGUGAAAUGUAGGCGCUCAACGCCUGACUUGCAGCGCGAACUGACGGUCUUGAGUGCGCGCAACGUUGGCGGAAUUUGUCGUGUAGCGGUGAAAUGCUUAGAUAUGACGAAGAACUCCGAUUGCGAAGGCAGCUGACGGGAGCGUUACUGACGCUUAAGCUCGAAAGCGCGGGUAUCGAACAGGAUUAGAUACCCUGGUAGUCCGCGCGGUAAACGAUGGAUGCCCGCUGUUUGCGUCUAACGUAAGCGGCCAAGUGAAAACGUUAAGCAUCCCACCUGGGGAGUACGCCGGCAACGGUGAAACUCAAAGGAAUUGACGGGGGCCCGCACAAGCGGAGGAACAUGUGGUUUAAUUCGAUGAUACGCGAGGAACCUUACCCGGGCUUGAAUUGCUGAGGAAUGAUCCAGAGAUGGUGAUGCCUUCGGGGCCUCAGUGAAGGUGCUGCAUGGUUGUCGUCAGCUCGUGCCGUGAGGUGUCGGCUUAAGUGCCAUAACGAGCGCAACCCCUCUCUUCAGUUGCCAUCAGGCUAUGCUGGGCACUCUGGAGACACUGCCACCGCAAGGUGUGAGGAAGGUGGGGAUGACGUCAAAUCAGCACGGCCCUUACGUCCGGGGCUACACACGUGUUACAAUGGGGGGCACAGAGAGUCGGGUGCGCGCAAGCUUGCCCAAAUCCUUAAAUCCCCCCACAGUUCGGACUGGGGUCUGCAACCCGACCCCACGAAGCUGGAUUCGCUAGUAAUCGCGCAUCAGCCAUGGCGCGGUGAAUACGUUCCCGGGCCUUGUACACACCGCCCGUCAAGCCAUGAAAGCCGGGGGUGCCUGAAGUCCGUGACCGCAAGGGACGGCCUAGGGCAAAACU